AAUAUCCUGCUCGGGUUCGAUAUAUAUAUAUAUAUAUAUAUAUAUAUAUAUAUAUAUAUAUAUAUAUAUAUAUAUAUAUAUAUAUAUAUAUAUAUAUAUAUAUAUAUAUAUAUAUAUAUCGAACCCGAGCAGGAAUUC
Non-coding RNA from Paramuricea clavata, 138 nucleotides. The record is from the annotation of a GenBank genome assembly. NCBI's taxonomy places the organism in Eukaryota, Metazoa, Cnidaria, Anthozoa, Malacalcyonacea, Plexauridae.